AUGAUGUUCGGUGUCCUUAAAGGCAUAGCUAUAGAAGAGAAGUUUGCUGCUUCACUUGAUGACAAAGAUAUUUCAAGGGCAGAUCCUAUGAACUUCCCUCGCCUCUCUAUUGACUGUCCAGAUUCAGAAAAUCUAAUUGGUCUGUCAAGUAUGAACUUUGAUAAUGGCGUUCAUUCCUUAACUGUUUUUGGUCAUGCAAACCAAUUUCUGCUUAAGCACUUUAAAGGUACACGAGUUUUGGAUUUAGAAGACUGCAAGAGCAUUGAGAGAUCUGAUGUUGAGUACAUAUGCAAUAUGGUUCUGCUGAAGCAAUUGUGCCUUGCAAAGACAGAUAUCACAGAGCUACCACCACAAAUAGGUAACCUACAGCAUUUGGAGGGGCUUGAUGUAGGAGGGACUCAAAUCACCGAGCUCCCAACACAAAUUGGAAAGUUGAAGCGUCUAAGGACUCUAGAUGCAAGGAAGUCACAAGUCAAGGAUUUAUCCCAUCAAGUUGUCUUGCUCACAGGGCUGGUCCAUCUGCUUAUUGGUGACAGUGAAUCCUGUGAAGGAGUGAAGUUACCUGAUGGAAUUGGGAAUAUGACAUCACUGCAGCAGCUGUGCACCAUUGAUUUGAGGAAAUGUUCGACAUCCUCUCUGAAGGACCUUGGUACGCUCCCUGAUCUAACAGAGCUUGGGGUAGUGUCAAGUGAUGAGCCAAAAGACAUGAAACUGAAUGAUGCACUGUUGUCUUGCCUCGACAAGUCCACCAAGCUGAGAUCCCUAGUGGUUUAUGGUGAUUUCAGAUUGAGCACACUGCAGUCAUACUCACCAUACAAAUAUCUCAACUGUCGGAAGAAACUUACUGUGGGAAAAUCUUUGAAGGUUCCGAUUGGUUUUGCAGGGCAAAGCCUCCUUGUUAUGCUUGAUAUCAGGGUCUGCAAGCUGGAGGAGGAUGAUCUGAAGAUACUCCAGGAGCUGCCUAGAUUGCAGAGCCUCAUUGUGCGGCUUGAAGUCCUCCCAACAAAAAUGAUACGAAUUAGCUGUGAGGGGUUUGCAAAACUUGAGCGUUUCUGUGUUGAUUGCCAAAUGCCUAGGGUGAUCUUUGAGGAAGGAGCCAUGCCAAAGCUGGAACAUCUUGAGCUCAAGAUUUACGGUGGAUCAACCAGCGAAGAACAUAUGGGUAUCAUGCACCUCCUAAACCUUCAAAUGGUUACUCUCCGGUACUCCAAAUGGCAUGCAACCAAUAAGGGCGUCAGGGAGACAACCGAUGCCAUGAAAACUUUGGCUAGGGAGCAAAAGAAUAAGUUCACUCUCUUCAUUGCUGAAGAGGACAAAGAUGCUAGUUCCAGUAGGAGAACUGAGAUUGAAGAAGAGGGGUUCAAGCUUUAUGAUGCUGUUGCUAAUCCUGCAGCCAUGGCGAGUACGGAUCCAGCUGGGAAUGAUCUUGUUGGCAUUGAUGGGAAACAAGAGAAAGAGCUCAUGAAGUUACUGUCAGAUGGGGACAAUGUGACCAAUAAAAAGCUGGAGGUAGUCUCUGUUGUUGGAUUUGCAGGAUUGGGUAAAACCGCUCUCGUCAAAACAGUGUAUGAAAAGAUAAAAGGGGAUUUCGACUGCACGGCUUUUGUUUUAGCCGGUCAGAAUCCUGAUUUGAGGACAGUUCUCAGGAAUGUCAUCUCACAGCUCACCAUGAACAGCAGUAAUAGCAGUAGAAAGGAUGAACAAGAGCUCGUCAAUUUAAUUAGCGAAAUCCUAGAGAACAAGAGGUAUCUCAUCGUGAUAGAUGACAUAUGGGAUGAACAAAUGUGGACAAUUAUCCGUUGUGCUUUAUCUAACAAGAACAAUCUUGGCAGCCGAAUAAUCACUACAACCCGCAUAGUCAGUGUAUCUAAAGCAUGUCUCCUGCAUGCUAAUGGUUCAGUUUAUCAAAUGGAACCUUUGUCUGAUGAUAACUCCAAGAAACUCCUCUAUCAUAGAAUAUUUGGUUCUGUAAGUAGAGGUCCUCAUGAAUUUGAACAAGUAUCUAUUGACAUCUUGAAGAAAUGUGGUGGGGUGCCUCUAGCCAUCAUCACUAUGGCUUCUGUUUUGGCUGGUGACCCGCAGCCGAAAACAAAGGAUGAAUGGCAUGCCUUGCUCAAGUCUAUUGGUCGUGGACAUGAAGAAAAUAUAGGAUGGAAGGAUAUGCAGAGGACACUGUCCUAUAGCUACUAUGAUCUUCCUGCGCAUCUGAAGACUUGCUUGUUGUAUUUGAGCAUAUUCCCUGUGAGUCACCCGAUUGAAAAGCAACGUUUUCUGAAAAAGAUGAUAGCGGAAGGGAUUGUUACCCAGGAUACGUUUAUGAGUCAGAAGUUUAGUCUAGAGGAACUAGCAAUCCAGUACUUGGAUGAGCUCCUCAAUAGGAAUGUUAUUCAUCUGCUGGAAUGCAACAGCAAUGGUAUGGUAAUAACCUACCAUAUCCACCCUAUGAUGCACGACACCCUUAAAGCAAUAGCGAUAGAACAAAAGUUUGCUGCUUCAUUUGAUGCCAAAGAUAUUUCAAGGGCACAUCGUAUGAACUUCCGCCACCUCUCUAUUGACUCUCUGGAUUCAGAAAAUCUGUUUGAACUUUCAAGUAUGGCCUUUGAUUGUGAUGUUCAGUCCUUAACUGUUUUUGGUGAUGCAAACCAACUUAUGCUCAGGCACUUUAAAGUUAGGCGAGUUUUAGAUUUAGAAGGCUGCAAGAGCAUUGUGAGAGCAGAUGUGAAGUACAUAUGCAGGAUGGUCCUGCUGAAGCAGUUGUGUCUUGCAAACACAGAUAUCACAGAGCUCCCACCAGAAAUAGGUAACCUACGGCAUUUGGAAGGGCUUGAUGUAGGAGGUACUCAAAUCACCCAGCUUCCAAUACAAAUUGGCAAGUUAAAGCAUCUCAGGACUCUAGAUGCAAGGAAGUCACAAGUCAAGGAUUUACCCCAUCAAGUUGUCCGGCUCACAAGAUUGGUCCAGCUUCUUAUUGGUGAUAUUGAAUCCAAUGAAGGAGUGAAGUUACCUGAUGGAAUUGGGAAGAUGACAUCACUGCAGCAGCUGUGCACCAUUGAUUUGAGAAAAUGUUCGACAUCCUCUCUGAAUGAGCUUGGUGAGCUCUCAAAUCUGAGAGAGAUUGCAGUAGUGUCGAGCGAUGAGCCGGAAGACACAAGAAUGACCAACGCACUAUUGUCUUCCUUCGACAAGUCGGCCAAGCUGAGAUCUCUGGUGUUUUAUACUGAUUUCAGACCAAGCACACUACAAUUGUCAUCGCCAUAUAAAUAUCUCAACAGCCUUGAGAAACUUACUGUGGUAAGGUCCUUGAAGGUUCCUAUUGGUUUCACAGGGCAAUACUUUUUUCGUGUGCUUGAUAUCAGGGUCUGCAAGCUGGAGGAGGAUGAUCUGAAGAUACUCCAGGAGCUGCCUAGAUUGCAGAGUCUCAUUUUGCGGCUUGAAGUCCUCCCAACAACAAUGGUACGGAUCAGCUGUGAGGGGUUUGCAGAACUUGAGAGUUUGUAUGUUGAUUGCGGAAUGCCUAGGAUGACAUUUGAGGAAGGAGCUAUGCCAAAUCUGGAAGAUCUUGGACUACAGCUUUACGCUGGAUCAGCUAGUGAAGAACAUAUGGGCAUCAAGCACCUCCUAAACCUUCGAAAGAUUACUCUCCGGUACUCCAAAUGGUAUGCAACCAACAAGGGCGUCGAGGAGAUAACUGAAGCCGUGAAAACUGAGGCUAAGGAGCACCGGAAACAGAUCACUCUCUGCAUCGAAGAAGAGGAGAUAAAUGGUAUCUGCAACACGAAGACUGAGACUUUUGAAGAAAACAGAGUUACAAGUUGCAGUAGGAUGACUGAGAUUAAAGAAGAAGAUGGGCAUGCCGACUGGACUGCUAUCUUCGACGGCGAUGGCACACACGAGGGAGGCCUUCAUCCGAGCAUCCACGAUAUUGCUAGCUGCAGCAGGACCAAGGAGAUCGAAGAAGUUGCAGAGUAG
This 3969-nucleotide ribosomal RNA is filed under the name Triticum aestivum (bread wheat). RNAcentral describes it as "partial small subunit ribosomal RNA". Lineage: Eukaryota; Viridiplantae; Streptophyta; Magnoliopsida; Poales; Poaceae. The record is from RNAcentral.